Molecule: ribosomal RNA, 460 nt
Filed under: uncultured bacterium
Lineage: Bacteria
Description: partial 16S ribosomal RNA
Rfam family: Bacterial small subunit ribosomal RNA
Source: RNAcentral
CCUACGGGUGGCAGCAGUGAGGAAUAUUGGUCAAUGGGAGAGAUCCUGAACCAGCCAAGCCGCGUGAGGGAAGACGGCCCUAUGGGUUGUAAACCUCUUUUGUCGGAGAACCAAACCCGGGACGUGUCCCGGACUGCGUGUAUCCGAAGAAAAAGCAUCGGCUAACUCCGUGCCAGCAGCCGCGGUACUACGUAGGGGGCAAGCGUUAUCCGGAUUUACUGGGGGGAAAGGGGGCGCCGACGGCGAUGCAAGCAAGGAGUGAAAGCCCGGGGCCCAACCCCGGGACUGCUCUUGGAAAUGCGUGGCUAGAGUGCAGGAGGGGCAGGCGGAAUUCCUGGUGUAGCGGUGAAAGGCGUAGAUAUCAGGAGGAACACCGGUGGCGAAGGCGGCCUGCUGGACUGCAACUGACGUUGAGGCCCGAAAGCGUGGGGAGCAAACAGGAUUAGAUACCCCUGUAGUC